UUUAUUUAUUUAUGGGCGUGGGGAAGGGAAAGGGAUGGAGAAUCUCAAGCUGACUCCACACUGAGCAUGGAGCCCAAAGUGGGGCCUCAAUCUCAUGACCCUGAAAUCAUGACCUGAACUGAAAUCAAGAGUUGGACACUUAACCCACUGAGCCACCCAGGCCUUGGAAAAGGCAAACAUAAAGUUAUAUGUUAACUUUAAAGAGUCACUGGAUAGUCAACUAUGCAUUGUUUUGUUAAGUUUUACUUUCCAUUGAGGUCUUGCUAGUGCACUGUAUAGACAUACCAAUAAAUAUGGGACACCUUGCAUAAGAAAAAAUAAAUCACUUUAAAAAAUCACUUUCAGAUAUAAAUUCAAAGUUGGUAUGCUUUAAAAAAAUUUAGGUACAGUUAUGACAGACUGUACACUCCUUAGUAAUGAAUAAUUUGCUAAGCUGAGUUCUAGGAAUACCUGAAACAUUUUUUUUUACUAGCAGAUAACAAUUCAUAUUAAGUAGGCUAUCUCUCUAAAUAUAUUCUCCUAGUCUCAUUUUUCAACAUUAUCUGCUAAAUUUAACCACAGAUGCUUUUUUCCCAUAAAUGGUCUUAAGCAAAGCUAUUCUAAAGAGGGGAAAUGCACAAUGCAAGACAGAAUUAAAUCCUGAUUUUAUUUCUGAUUUUCUCUCUGACACUGGAGAACUUAUUUCUGCUUCCUGUUCUGUAAAUUUUAUACAAUGGCAAUGCCUCACAGUGCUGUUAUAAGAAGAAAAAAAAAUGUGAAGCUUGAGCAAAGGUUAAAAUUGCCAUGAUGGUUGGUAUUGCUGCUAGGAACAUUGCUCUGUUUAUAGGAACACAGACAUCAUCUGCCCUAGACUUGACUUCUAAAAAUUCAAACUUUAAGGCCUCAAGUAAAUUAAUAAUCUGUAUUCAUAUGACACUUUAUAAUUGAUAAAUAACUUCUAUAAAUGUUGUUCAUUUAAUACUCACAAAUGUUACAUAACAAAAGUGCUACCAUCUGAGGAGACAGAGACUCUGAGAUGUCAAAUGAUUUGCUUAAGUUUACACAACUGCUAAUAAAUCUAGGAUUCAAAAAUCAAUCAAUCAAUCAAUCAAUCAAUCAAUCUAGGAUUCAAAGCUGAGAUUCAAAUCCUGUAUUUUGAUUCCAGGGCCAGUAUUUCCCCUUUAUUGUAGGAGAGAUUGUCUGAUGUUUCAUUUUUUUCUUUUAAAAUGUAUUUAUAUAUUUUAGAGAGAGCAAAUUUGGGGAGAGGGAGAGAAAGUCUCAAGCAGACUCUGCGCUGAUCGCGGAGCCCAACGUGGGGCUCAAUCCCAAGACCCAUGAGAUCACAACCUGAGCUGAAACCAAGAGUCAGAUGCUUAACCUACUGUGCCACCCAGGCUCCCUUUGUCUGAUGUUUUAAAAAGCCUCUAAUCCUAGGGGCAUCUGAUUGGCUCAGUCAAUAGAGCACACAAUUCUUGAUUUGGGGGUUGUGAGUUCAACCCCCAUAUUGGGGAUAGAGAUAACUUAGUUUAAAAAAAAAAAAGCUUUUGAUCCUAUUUCUUACCCUAAUUUAUAGGAGCCAUAUGGAAGAAUCCAUUGAAAAGUGUUAGACCAAGUUGUCUGGAUUAAUCAGAGAUUCUGAUGAUUUCCUUAAAUGGUUAAAUUUUCAAUUCCUUUAACUACUUCUUUAAAUCCUCACUCUACUUAUUCAUUAACUUGUCUAUGCUUUUAUCUAUAUAAGAAUACAUAACAUGAUGUCUUCAAUUUCAAAACAAUAUAAUACAUUCUGGAUUGAUAGCAGUUGAGGGAAUGUAGAAUAAAGGAGAGGAACAAAUGAUAAGUCAGAUGAUUUUGUGGCAUAGUGAUUUGGCAUGGGCCCAGUAACAUAUUAGUGGGUUCAGAUUAGGAUUUCUAAAUGUGAACCUGAAUUCUUCUAUAUGUCAAGUGGGGUCAGCAAUAAUACCUAUUUCACAUGGUUAGAGUGGGAAUUAUAUAAAUAUAUGUUGUGGGAGGGGUGUAUAAAAAUAUAUUUAUUAGUGGUUGACAAAGUAAUCGGUACAAAAUAAGUGCACAAUAAAAAGAAAUUUUAUUAUUUUGGUUGAGGAAAGUUGCAAAAAAGUCAAGUUGGAAGAGGUAUUAAACAUGGCUUAACCCUCAUUAAGGAGGCUGUGAACACCAGCAAGAAACAGCAGCUUCUCAAUUUCCAGAUGUCAGGUCAUGGUGUAAAUGCUGAUGCCAGUGGACUUUAUAAUUAAUUCAACUCAGGAUGUAUAAACAAGCCCAGAAGGGCAUUUAAGCAAUGUCCUUAAACAGAAAACAAAAUUUAGAGUUUUCUCAUGAAUGAAGAUGCUGCAUAUCACUUUCCAGCUACCACCUGUUAAAUAUUUUAUUCACCAGUUAUGUGUAAGAAGCAAAGCCCAUGCACAACAGAUGGCAGCCUAAUUCUGGCUUCUCUAAAAAGGUUUUCCUCCUACUCAUAAGAACCCAAGGAUAUGUUGAUAUGAGUGUUGCAGAUGAAUCCUCAGCACUGAAUACUACUUAACA
RNAcentral lists this long non-coding RNA (2520 nucleotides) under Canis lupus familiaris (dog). RNAcentral describes it as "lncRNA (ENSCAFG00845009077.1)". Lineage: Eukaryota; Metazoa; Chordata; Mammalia; Carnivora; Canidae. The record is from RNAcentral.